GUCGAACGGCAGCGCGGGGCAACCUGGCGGCGAGUGGCGAACGGGUGAGUAAUAUAUCGGAACGUACCCUGGAGUGGGGGAUAACGUAGCGAAAGUUACGCUAAUACCGCAUACGAUCUAAGGAUGAAAGUGGGGGAUUCGCAAGAACCUCAUGCUCCUGGAGCGGCCGAUAUCUGAUUAGCUAGUUGGUGGGGUAAAGGCCCACCAAGGCAUCGAUCAGUAGCUGGUCUGAGAGGACGACCAGCCACACUGGAACUGAGACACGGUCCAGACUCCUACGGGAGGCAGCAGUGGGGAAUUUUGGACAAUGGGCGCAAGCCUGAUCCAGCAAUGCCGCGUGAGUGAAGAAGGCCUUCGGGUUGUAAAGCUCUUUUGUCAGGGAAGAAACGGUGCUUUCUAAUACAGAGCGCUAAUGACGGUACCUGAAGAAUAAGCACCGGCUAACUACGUGCCAGCAGCCGCG
RNAcentral lists this ribosomal RNA (463 nucleotides) under uncultured soil bacterium. RNAcentral's name for it is "bacterial SSU rRNA". It matches the Rfam family "Bacterial small subunit ribosomal RNA", at positions 61 to 519 of the family's 1533-position model. The record is from RNAcentral.